AUUGAACGCUGGCGGCAUGCUUUACACAUGCAAGUCGAACGGUAACAGGCCGCAAGGUGCUGACGAGUGGCGAACGGGUGAGUAAUGCAUCGGAACGUGCCCAGUCGUGGGGGAUAACUACACGUAAGAGUAGCUAAUACCACAUACGAUCUAUGGAUGAACGCGGGGGACCGUAAGGCCUCGCGCGAUUGGAGCGGCCGAUGUCAGAGUAGGUAGUUGGUGGGGUAAAGGCUCACCAAGCCAAAGAUCUGUAGCUGUUCUGAGAGGACGACCGGCCACACUGGGACUGAGACACGGCCCAGACUCCUACGGGAGGCAGCAGUGUGGAAUGUUGGACAAUGGGCGCAAGCCUGAUCCAGCAAUGCCGCGUGCAGGAAGGAGGCCUUCGGGUUGUAAACUGCUUUUGUACGGAACGAAACGGCUCUGGUUAAUACCCGGGGCUAAUGACGGUACCGGAAGAAGAAGCACCGGCUAACUACGUG
This 482-nucleotide ribosomal RNA is filed under the name uncultured bacterium. RNAcentral's name for it is "partial 16S ribosomal RNA". It matches the Rfam family "Bacterial small subunit ribosomal RNA", at positions 30 to 507 of the family's 1533-position model. The record is from RNAcentral.